RNAcentral lists this ribosomal RNA (263 nucleotides) under uncultured bacterium. Its description in RNAcentral is "partial 16S ribosomal RNA". It matches the Rfam family "Bacterial small subunit ribosomal RNA", at positions 793 to 1055 of the family's 1533-position model. The record is from RNAcentral.
GUCCACGCCGUAAACGAUGAUAACUAGCUGUCCGGGUACUUGGUACUUGGGUGGCGCAGCUAACGCAUUAAGUUAUCCGCCUGGGGAGUACGGUCGCAAGAUUAAAACUCAAAGGAAUUGACGGGGGCCUGCACAAGCGGUGGAGCAUGUGGUUUAAUUCGAAGCAACGCGCAGAACCUUACCAGCGUUUGACAUCCCGCGCUACAACCAGAGAUGGUUGGUUCCCUUCGGGGACGCGGUGACAGGUGCUGCAUGGCUGUCGU